Molecule: ribosomal RNA, 510 nt
Filed under: uncultured Glomus
Lineage: Eukaryota; Fungi; Glomeromycota; Glomeromycetes; Glomerales; Glomeraceae
Description: SSU rRNA
Rfam family: Eukaryotic small subunit ribosomal RNA
Source: RNAcentral
AGCAGCCGCGGUAAUUCCAGCUCCAAUAGCGUAUAUUAAAGUUGUUGCAGUUAAAAAGCUCGUAGUUGAAUUUCGGGGUCAAUAAGUUGGUCAUGCCAAUGGUAUGCACUGGCUUUAUUGAUUCCUACCUCUUGACGAACUGUGAUGCCAUUAAUUUGGUGUUGCAAGGAAUCAGGACUGUUACCUUGAAAAAAUUAGAGUGUUUAAAGCAAGCUUACGCUUGAAUACAUUAGCAUGGAAUAAUGAAAUAGGACGUUUGAUCCUAUUUUGUUGGUUUCUAGGAUCGACGUAAUGAUUAAUAGGGAUAGUUGGGGGCAUUAGUAUUCAAUUGUCAGAGGUGAAAUUCUUGGAUUUAUUGAAGACUAACUACUGCGAAAGCAUUUGCCAAGGAUGUUUUCAUUAAUCAAGAACGAAAGUUAGGGGAUCGAAGACGAUCAGAUACCGUCGUAGUCUUAACCAUAAACCAUGCCGACUAGGGAUCGGAUGAUGUUAAUUUUUAAUGACUCAUUC